Long non-coding RNA from Acanthochromis polyacanthus (spiny chromis), 3421 nucleotides. RefSeq lists it as uncharacterized. The transcript has 2 exons. The record is from RefSeq and is a predicted model, not a curated record. NCBI's taxonomy places the organism in Eukaryota, Metazoa, Chordata, Actinopteri, Pomacentridae.
GAGAGUGUAAAAAGAUUCUUGCUUGCUUGUUUAACAAACCCGCUUCUCCCCCGCUACGCUGAUAAACCCUCUCGAUUAAGGAGGGGCUUCCUGUCAGUGUAGCUGGGGGAGGUAUCUAGCGCUCACACGGUCACGACAGCUCUCAGUGACAGGUCGCAGGGGUAGCGCGCAGAAAGGCGAGAUAGGAGAAAGCUAAUAGAGAACAUUUGAUUUCACGGGUUUCUCUGUCAAAAAGAAUGCUAAAAACUUUUGUCAUAGGGUGGAUGGACAAGAAUGCUGAAAUUUUUGUUUUACAGGGACGCGUCUGCUCCAGAUCAGAUAAAUACUUUUGACUGUUAGGACCCGGGAGGGGGGAGGGGGCGCAUCUGCACCGAAUAGAUAAGCCGCUGAGGGUUAGGGAGACACUUUAGACCUGACUUUGGCGUCCGAGGGGAAGGGGCUCCCGGAAUAAACAAAGAUCACGUGGUGAAAAUAUCACGUCAUAAGGCGGGACUUCCUGUAAAAGAGCACGUGAAUCAAAAUGCUUUGGGCCAACAAAACCAAAAUGCCAAUACGACGCCGGAAAAUGACAAGGAAAAGGUUAUUCAAGUUCAGAAACUCACUGAAGAUUAUCGAUGACCUGGAUGAAACAGAGGGAACAAAGAAGAAAGGCAUUCUGGAGUGAAUAAGGCAAGGCUGCCUUAGCCUCCCAAAACCAAGGAAAGUCUGCAUCGAUGAGCAAAUGAUCCCUUUUGCGGGCCGCUGUCCCAUCAUCAGGCAGUUUGUUCCAUGCAAGCCACACCCUACUGGCUGGAAGGUAUAUGUACUAAUUUCUCCAGUUGGUCUGACGCUGGACUUUUAAGUAUAUCAAGGGAAGGAUACAUUUGCUGGUCAAAGAAUGGGAAAUGGUGGCAGCAUCAGUCCUUGGCAUGGUUGAAACUGUUCACACAGAAAGUCAUCUAUCACUUGGCUAGCAGACCUAAGAAAUGGACGUGCAUGUGAUUGUUCAUUUCUUUGAUGUUACCAUCACAAAUUCCUGGAUCCAAUACAAGUCUGAAAGCAUAGUGCUUAACCACUCAAUGAAAAACACUGAACAGUUCCUGGACUUCAAACUGAAUCUGGCAACUUAGCUCCUGAUACUUAGAACCUGAAGACACUGACAAAAGAGUAGACGACAGUGAAGAGAGUGAAAAAGAGUAUGAGUCACCCAUUAAAAAGAGGAUUCCACAAUCAGAAGCAUUGUUCCAAAAAUAUGGGGCCAGGCAUAUGCCAGAGAAGGUAGACUGCAACCACGCAAAGACCAAGAAGAAUUUAAUGAAUGAAGAAAAGAAAGAGGAAGGGCAGAACAAAAGGAGGAGGAGCUACCAGAUUCAAACUUGUGCUACACAGGCCUCCAGACUAUUGAGAGAUUAAUUUAUGUUGCUGUUCAGUUUAAUUUAGAAAGUUCUAUUCGAAAAUUGUAAGAUUUCUUGAUAUGUGUUUUGUAAAUGUUUUUUCCACCAAUUAUAACCGUAAGAUUAUAAUAAUGUUUCUCCACCAAUAUUAAUGUAGGGUUAAUGUUUGCUCAAAUGGGGUUAAGGGUUUUAUACAGAAUUAUUAUACAGUCUACCUGAUAUUCGACCAGCGAAGUAUUUAGAAUAGACAAAUAUAAUAAUUAGCCUAUGAAACACUUCUUGCUGCGCUGUCAAGAAGAGCUUCAGGAAUUGUAAGGGGAAUUAUUUAGCUUCAGAGGUUAUGUAUAAAAUUGAGGUAGCUGGAAUCUAUGCAAGUUAGGGACCAAAAUGUAAACAACAAAACAAUUGAGGCACUGAACUUAUAUUUGUGUACAUUUAUUAAGUUAAACUAAAUAAUAACAACAACAAUAACACACAUUAAGACGAACAACAACAACACAAAACAAAUAAGAUGGUGAGAUGUGAAUGAUGGGAAAAGGGAGGAAGAGAACACAAUAUUUCAAUGUAACACUGGGAUUAAUAUUACACUUGAAAUAUGGAGUUCUGAGGGAAAAGGGAUAACUAGACCACACCUGAAAGCAGCCGUCAAUUUGGUAGUAGGCUAUUCUGUUAGCCUGUAAACUUUAUCUUUGAAAAGAUAAUUUGAGGAAGUUGCACCAAGUUCCAGUGACUGAAAGGUACUUGCGUGCCGUGAUGACAAUGAUGAUGAUGAUGAUGAUGAUGAUGCUUCGGUGCAUGGUCCAGUCGGCCUUUGUUGAUGUGGGUCAGAACAACGGUGGACAGAGUUGAGCCUCGGAGUCUGGAGAACUCUUGGGUUGGAAGCCUCUGAUGACAAAGGAGAGUUUGUUCUUCGAACAGAGGAUUCUGAUGGUGCAGGAGUACUCUUGCCUGUGAUGGUGAAAGGGGGCUCCAAGUAGGAAAAGAGACUCCAAGUGGUGAAACAGACUCCUCCGGUUGGACUCCUGAUGUUACAUGGGAAAAGCGACUCCCGAUGGUAAAACAGGCUCCUGAUGGACUCUCAGGUGGUGAAAAAAGACUCUACAUGAUAAAACAGACUCAGGGUGGCAAAAGAGGUCUCGGGGUGGUAAAAAGAGACUCGACCUGGUAAAACAGACUCUACGUGGUGAAAAAGGACUCCAAGUGGUGCUUUCAGUGCUCUAACGGAUCUGGAUGCAACAGUUUCCAUCAUCAUGGUGAUUUGUCAGGUCUGCUGUCCGCUCAUUUCAGCCGUUCUGUUUCGUGUUAAGAAAAAAGUGUGUAUCAAUGGAUGAUUUUUUUCUUUUUUGUAUUCCACCACAAUAUUGCACGGUUGUAAAACAGUUUAGCUCCUCUUUGGUAAAGAACAUCAGUGAAUUAAUUGUCUAUCACGGUCUUCAGCAGUAAUUUUUGUUGGUAAAUGAGAGACAUUAGUAUCGCACGUGUCUGCAUCUUCAAACCAUAAACAGGAAGUGAAUUCGGUGAUGUACGCGCAUUACGUUUGUGCUGGGAGCUGCUAUGAUUGGUGGAACUCAUGGGAGGCGGGCCACAAUUACGGAAAAGUUGCGGUGAUUGGACAAAAUUGCAAGGCCGCGCAAAAUUCGCGGAGAUUGGUUGAUUUUGCGUGAUUUCGCGCAAUCGCAACAUGGCGAAUUGUCAUUGUUUUUUAACAGUGAUAUUGCUCUGUUGUCCAGUACAGUGGACAUGCUGUAAAAUCUAAAAUAGAAAUAAUUUUUAAAAAUUCUAAAUUGAGAGUUGUUGUUUUAGCUCCAUAAAGCCAGGAAAUCACAAAAAAGUUAAACUGAAAGAUAUUUUUUUCCUCAUUUCUCAGGACACAACAGCAAAGGUCCUUUGUGGAGGAAGUGCUAAAGAUUGUGGAUUGUGUAGCUUCAACUGACAUUCCUGAUGAGGAAAAAAUCCUUACAUCCCUCCGUGAAACAGUGCAUAUCCAAUCUUAUGACACAGCACGUGACUUUAUCAAAACAUUUCAAAAUAAAAAUGACUUUAAUGUA